RNAcentral lists this ribosomal RNA (274 nucleotides) under uncultured bacterium. Its description in RNAcentral is "partial 16S ribosomal RNA". It matches the Rfam family "Bacterial small subunit ribosomal RNA", at positions 523 to 796 of the family's 1533-position model. The record is from RNAcentral.
AUACGGAGGGUGCAAGCGUUAAUCGGAAUUACUGGGCGUAAAGCGCGCGUAGGCGGUUUUGUAAGUCGGAUGUGAAAGCCCAGGGCUCAACCUUGGAAUUGCAUUCGAAACUGCAUGACUCGAGUAUGGUAGAGUGAAGUGGAAUUCCAGGUGUAGCGGUGAAAUGCGUAGAUAUCUGGAGGAACAUCAGUGGCGAAGGCGACUUCCUGGACCAAUACUGACGCUGAGGUGCGAAAGCGUGGGGAGCAAACAGGAUUAGAAACCCUAGUAGUCC